Pelodiscus sinensis (Chinese soft-shelled turtle) is the source of this 7135-nucleotide long non-coding RNA. RefSeq lists it as uncharacterized. The record is from RefSeq and is a predicted model, not a curated record. Lineage: Eukaryota; Metazoa; Chordata; Testudines; Trionychidae.
UUUGAAUUGUGUGUCCUGAGAGUGCUUUGUUAGAGGUGUGUCUUCAAGGGGCCCUAGGAUGGGAGGCAGGGCUUUGAGCUGGGCCUCCUUUUUAGAGCCAUUAGGCUCCCCUGAAAGCUUAGAAGAAGGCAAACUGAAGGGGAGCUAAGUGUUUCCUUCUGGAUAGGAAGCGGUGCCAGUGUUGAGAUGGCUAGGGUAAGUAUGCAAGAGUCUGUGUAACUUCAUUCACUGGUGCUGGAUGCUGGAAGGCUUUCUGGUGAAUUGUCUUCAUUACACUACGUUUCUGUAUCGAUAGCUUCCUUUCCCCCAUCAGCACGACCUGGUCUGGCCUUCCGAUAUGUACUGUGAGUAGAAACAAUUAUAUUGUAAGAGAAAGAUGAGUUGUACUAAGUUGAAAGAAUACUGUUUCUUUGAACAGGAAUGAGAUGAUUAUGUUGGAAGGUAUUCAGAUCAGAAUUAAGCCAGGUGAGCCUGGGAUAAUAGGAAAAGAAAUAUUAGGUGUUAGGUAGAAAGUAAUUGAGGUAGCCAGAAAGAUAUGGACAGGAGAUUGCUGUGUGCUUGAAGUGGAAAUUAAGGUACUUCAGUAGUCUGACUAAUCAUGUAAAGUUUUCCUACCUUUUAAUCUUGUUAUAUUUAUUCAGUCAAAAGCCAAUGUAAGGGGUUGGAGUCUUGUAUGGUACUCACAUUUUCUGGGUUUAUUAGCAGAGGGGCUUUGCUAAUAAACAGCGGGGUCUGACAAAUCUGAGUCCUGUGGGUCUGACUUCGACAAUUUGGAGGUCCCGCUGUGAUGGCAGUAAUCUUCACUGAGGCUGUGAGAUACCUGACAGUCUUGCAGGAUGACCAUGGCUGCCGGCACUUGGGCGUUUGGGCCAAGCGGUCCUCUGACAGUGGCAAGGUGCACAACCACAGCGAAGUCUACAGUGUCGAACCUGUUGGUUCCCGCUCUGCUCUGGUAGGGAUCCUGGGAUAUAACAUCAGGACUCUGGUCAGGUAAUUAUUUCUAUAUUUUGUUGGCACCGAGGACUGUCUUGUCUCCGUGUGUAUCCAUCUUCCCUGUGGCGUGAGUGAGUCAUCCCUAUCCGCGGACUAACGGACCAAGGGGCUCCUGUCCCCACGGUCUGUGUGACUGGAAUCUGCGCAAUCGCAGCCGCACCACACCUUGGAUAAAAUCCUUGGAGUGAACGCAAGGGCGGUUGAGGCAGUAGCCUGUGGGCUUUUUUCGUGGGGUGCACUGGGCACUGCUCUGGCAAAUCUGAUUCGUGUGUGUGUCUGACUUUGACAGUACCCUGGUAUGACACUGUCCCAUUGGUAGUCCUCCUUCCACCAAGUUUCCGUGGUGCCUAUUGUAUCGGUAGCCUCCUUUGAUACGAGGCGCUCUGGUUCACCCACUUAAUAUUUAGAGGUCUAGCGUUUGUCUAGAAGCCCUUUGAAAAUGUCACGCUUUAGCUGUCUGCUGUUUCCAGACGUGUUAGACCCUUUUUCGUGUGAUUGUUUCUCCUCUGCUCUUACCCAGUCUCUCCCUUAAUAGAGAUGUCCCCUAAGAGAUGUCUCUGUCCGAUGCAGGUGCUCUUCCGCACCCGUCGACUUCCCUUUAGCCUCUAGUUGAAAAACUGCUCUCCGCCUUUUCUAAUGCUAAGGGCCGGCAGUCGGGUUCCCUUUUUGGUUUAGGUGGAGCCCAUCCUUCCCGUACAGGCUCCCUCUUCCUCUAAAGUUCCUUUCACCGCUUAAAUCCCUCCUCUCUGCUCCAUCGUCUUCUCCGUGCAUUGAGACUGUGAAGGCCUGCCUGCCUGCCUACCUGGCCCUGAGCAUGGAACUGGAAGCGUUUUGGAGUUAGCCUGGGAAAGGUCCGAGAGGCGCGCUUGGGUGGGGGCGCCUUCAGGGGCUGAUUGGGUUGGAAGCAAGGCACUUGGAGCCAGCAGCCUUAUCCCAGAGGCAGCCAGAGCGAACUGAGUGAGCAGCCAACAGGGGACUUGCCCUCGGCGAUGUCCAGGUGGAGCUCGGGUCCAUAGAAAUGACAGGGUCAUUCAUAAGCAGGGCUUCCUGAACCACACUGAGCCCCCGCUCGCCAGCUGCAUUGUCCGGCGAUCUGCGCAUGCACAGAUCGCCUGAACCCAGCUCUUCCGGGUUGCACUCUACUUGCCACAGGUGAGAAGAUUGCACUAUUUAUCGAGCCCUCUUCAUAAGUAUAGCUAUCUGUUAUCACACCCCUCCCUUUCCGUUUGAGGCAAAAUAAAUCCCUUUCCAUGCACAUCCCAUUGUACUGGCACAACCAAACCCUGACCUUGCUUUUAGUCAUAAGAGGAAGCUGUUUGCUGUUCCUAGCUCUUGCUGUUUAGAGGAGUUCUUGAACAAACAGCCUCACAGACAGAUUGAUGAACACAGACAGAAAGAUGCACAAACUCUAAAAUAUAUAGUAAGAUGAGUAACUCAGAGGACACCAUUCAUUAAACAGUUCAGUUGACUACAUCGAUUUCUGAUAUAACUCAGUUGAUUUGAGUAAAAUUACAAAACCCACCGUAAAAUAAUUUUUCCUCUGUAUUGUAGGAGUUCUUCUGUAUCAGUCAGUACGUUCAUGCAUCUUAACUUGUCUUGCUUCUUGAAAAGGCUUCUUCUUUUUUCUUCACUCUUACACAUGUUCUUUACUUUAUUUUCCCCUGUUUGAUUUCCCAAAUAAUUGUUGGAAGCCUUUUAACAUCAUCAUCGUCCCCACUAAUCAUACAGCCUGGAUCCAGCAGUUCCCUGUGAUCUGUGAAUAAAAGAGGCUCUUCUCUCAUGAAUACUUCCCAUGCAGAAAAAGGGCUUUAAUCACCUCUGCAGCAGUAUUCCCCCCCUUCCUCUAGAGCUGUACAGAGGGAAGAAAACAGGCAUUAUGUGGGCUGGUCAGUAUUAGGACUAGGGGAGUCAAGUGUGAUCCUCUACCAACCAGACAGCUCAGGGCAGAAAUGCAAUGCAGUGAGAGGCUAAAUUGUAUGUCUGCUCUCACUGCUCUGCCACUGGACCGUCUUUAAGUGGGGCAUGAUAGGAAGCUGUGAUGUGAUAGGAUAGGUCCACUGGAGCAAGGAGAGUUAUCAAAGAUGCAACAGCAGCAUAGAAGCUGGAGUCUCCUGAUAGGCCUCCCUGACUUUCUGCUGAGGCCUCUUAAGAAAUGGAAGAAAAGCAAGUAAUGGAAUCAGAAUCAUACUUAUGACCGCUUGCCUAGCACCAGUGUCAAAGCGCUGUCGUUACUGUGUACUCAUUCCUUGAACAAUCUUUGUGUCUGCACUGUGCUUAGCACAGUGGGGGCCCUGACGUGACUAAGACCUCUAGGUACUACCACAAUACUGUAUAAACAAACUAAUACUCUAAAUCUUUACUGCAUAUGUUUUCUAUUAAGUUUCCCCACCCUGUUUAGCUCCUGGUUCCAGGCAGUCAAGUUCUCCUGUCAGUCAUACACAUGACAUGUAACCAAACUGAAAUCCCUGGUGCAAGAGUGUGGAGAAUCUGGUCUAGAACCCUAGGCCUUGGUUACAGAGCAUUUUUUCUUUUUGAGUGAACAUGACUCCAGUUACCCUCUUAGCCUGUUUUUAUCUUGUCUGACUCAGGAUCUACUUGCACUCCUCAUUUUGGCAGAUGCUGGCAGACAGAAACAAAGCCCAACAUGACACAAUUCCAUAAGAUGAUUUGCCUAGAGGAGCAAUCUCCCAAUGGCUAUGUUACCAAACAAAAUUAUCUAUCCUAUACCAUUUUAGCACCUCUUUUCUUACUAUUUAAAAUUAUUCUUUCCUCCUUUGUCUGUUGUUCUUCUGAAAGGCUGAAAGCCAUUAUGUCCUCCACGCCUCCUUCUUGCUAUUUACAACUAGUAGUAGUUCAUGCAUGUACUUCAUAGUUUACCUACAAGUCUUUUUGCUUUUCAGUUAAAGCUUUUGCGCAGGGUCAAUUCAUAGUGAGAGAGGGUUUGAGAGAGUUUGUCGGUCUGUGAAUAAGAGUCUUUCUGUCUGUUCGUUCAACAACUCCUUUUAAAUGGUAAGAGCUAGGACCAUGAACAUUGGUAUACAGCUUCCUCUUAUAACUUAAAGCAAGGCAAAGCUUUGCUUGUGUGAGGGGGUAGGAGUGGGGUUGGAGCAGGGUGAGAAGUGAAGCGCCCCUCCUCCCCGUUACAUAUGGAGAUGCAUAAAGCCAUACAAAAAAGAGAAUCACUAGGCAGAUCAACAGGACUGGUUAGAGGUCCUCCCCCAUCCAGGACUGCUCCAGCUCUGAGCCCCCCAGGCACCCUUUGGGGAAUGGCAGCUCCCCCCAUGUUCACACAGGAACAUUGCUGGCUGUUCCCCUUCAUUAGGGAGUGAGGGGAAAGUGCACAUUUUGCUCCAUUUCUCAAUCUGGCUGGGGAGUGCAGAAGGCCAGAUGAACUUGGACCUGCCCCUUCUCCAGCUGUGCCCACUUCAGCUGCAGCAGCCAUGGAGAGGUGCAUCUCACAUGCCUGCAAGCUACUGCAGUGAGAGGACUGGGGUAGCCCUCUCUACCCAGGGAAGCCUGAAAAAUGUAACAAUUUGAGUUAAAGUUUACUGUGUAAAUCAUCUAGUACACUCUAUUUUGGAAUCUGCCAACUUGUGCUCUAGAAUCUAAGUUAUUAAAAGCUAAGGUCUGACAAAUGUGACAGGGUCAGGACAGGGGGGUACCCCAGAACCAGCAGGAAGCUGGUAGAAUCAGAGUAAUCAGGCCAAUUAAAACACCUGGAACCAAUUAGGAGGCUUUCAGAUUCGAGAGACUUGGCUAAUCAGAACACCUGGGGGGGCCUAUUAUGAAAGAGCCAGUUGAGAAUGAUUUUAAAAGGUUUCCCUUCUGUUUGUUCAGUGUGCAGGGAAGGAGCUGAUGAGAACACUAAACUAGCCCCCCAUCACACACCAUGUCCAGAGGCUUGGCAAGGCUGUUGACCUGCCUACUAGCAAAAGACGGAUCCGUUGCUGCUUGCUGCUACUACUCCACUAUCUCAACACUCCUCCAUCAGACAUCCCAAUGAAACAUGCAAUCUGAUACACCUAACACAGCAUGAUGCAGUCUUGCUAGAAACAGAGCAGGAGACCCUUUGUUGGGAAUAGAAUAUGAAACACGCUAUUUGAAAUAAACAUUUCAGAGGUUCCCCUCAGUAAAGAAAAAGAAUAGUACCACCCAUUGCACAGGGUUGUCUCACGGUCAGAGCAGGACAUUAGUCGUCAGAAGAUCUGUUUCUAUUCCCACUAUCAGUGACAGCUAAUUCACUGCGUGACCUUGGCAUUGUCAGUUAGGUCCACAUUUCACAUGUGCCUGCUAAUUCUGUAUAGUUCAUUCCCAAGUGCUCAACCCAUGAUUUUUAAGAAGUGCGUUACACCAUUAACCCUAGUUGAAGUAAGUAAAAAAACUUGUCGUGUGCGCUCUCUUUUUAAAUGGAAAUGCAGGUUGUACCUCCGAAGACUGGCAUUCUCUGGUCUGGCAACAUCUGUCGUCUGGCAGGACUACGGAUACUCCUGGACCAUAAACAGGGAACCAAAGGGCAGGAGGGUCAGCCAGGGCAGUGGAAAACAAGGUCGGUAACUUAGCUUGAGGCAGAGUGGAAUCUUCUGGCAUCUCUGGGAAUGUGAGCUGGAGCCCCAUGGCAGCUUGCAGCUUGUGUCAGCAUGGGACCAAAGCCCUGCGGCGGCCCCUGGAAAUGUGAGGCUGGAGCCAGAACCACAAGGCAGCACUGGGUCGGAGUCUUCUGGCAGCUCCCAGAAGCCUGGGGCCAGAGCCCCGAAGGAGAUGGGGAGGCUGGGCCUGGAGCCCUGAAGCAGCCCCUGGGAAUGCCGGGCUAGGCGGGAGCCUUGCAGUACCCUAUAGCAAGUGGGGCCAAAGCCCUGUGGCAGAAGCUGGAUCCUGUGUUGCCCAGGGAGCUGACAGCAGCUGGGCAAGCAGCCCAGCAUGGGCUUGGGGGCUGGUUGCAGACCUCCCCUGGUCCAGCAAAUUCUCUUGUUCAGGACCAAUCAAGUCCUGACAGUGCUGGAUCAGGAAGAUCCAACCUGUACUAAUAUUCAUUCAUCUUUGUAAAAAGUGUCUUGAAACCAUAGGAGAAAGUGCUACAUAAUAUCAUGUGGAUAGCCUGUGCUGUUUUAUAGAUGUAAAAAGGCCAAACAUGUCUGUGGAUCCCUUUGUAAUAUUUUCUGGAUGUUAAAGAUUGGGAUUAUGGCUUGCCCCUGCACAGGAAUGCAGUGCGGGUUUUGGAGAGGAGAUUUCUCAUGUUCUCACAUGGAUCUUGCACACAUUGACAAAUCAAGUCAGAAUUUGGCUAUAUACCAAUUAUAAUCACUUACUUGGGGAAAGGGAUGAAAUGGUUCAUGGAAAGAUAAUAAAUGAAAAUAGAAGUAGGUAUGUUUUAGGGAUAAAAUGUUUUUUAAACUAAUUACGCAGUAACAUUAAGUGUGUACAAAUUACCACUUGCUGGGCUAUUUUUAUAACUUUAAUUAACUCCACGACAGGUACAGUAACAAUAGCUGAGUUCAAGCAAAUUUAUUCAUUCCUAAUUUACUGGAAUGAAAGAAUGACAGGUAGAUACACUGGACAAAAAGCAAAGUUCUGCCAUUCUUUAAAAUUUUCACUGAUGUCAACAUUAAGGAAGAGUUUUGCUUGAUUAAUAACUUCAGUAAGUAGCAGAAGAAAAUUAUGUACCAUAGUGUAUACUCAGUUGAUGUAAUUUUUGUUGUCCUGCUGAUUUCAGAUGAGGUGGUAGGGUGAAGUUUGGGUGAAAUCCCAUUGAAGCUGUAGGUAUAACAGCUGCUCUUCUUUCCAGAUAAAUGUUGUUGACAAAUUGUAUAGUCAACUAAUUGACUACACUUUGGGUCAAAUAUACUCAAGAGAACAAAUAAUCAAUGCCAGUCACGUUUACUGAUAUAAUAACAAGGUUCAUGAUAGCAAUCUAUAAGAUGUCAUCUUGUGCAGUGAUGUUAUAUUCCCUUUAUACAGGUAUGUUCCAAAAGUUGCACAUUUCAGCUGCUGUUAGCUAUACUAGCCAAUUAGCCUAUCAUAAGACAGGAUUUUCAUGUCUCUCCUUCACAGCUGCUGAGCCUCUGGCAUGGUGGGGUGGGUGGGUGUGUCCUCCUCCUGCCUUCCCCUUGCUCUCUUUCAGCUCUCCUCUGCCUCCUGCCUCUCA